Molecule: ribosomal RNA, 253 nt
Filed under: uncultured bacterium
Lineage: Bacteria
Description: partial 16S ribosomal RNA
Rfam family: Bacterial small subunit ribosomal RNA
Source: RNAcentral
UACGGGGGGGGCAAGCGUUGUUCGGAAUUACUGGGCGUAAAGGGCUCGUAGGCGGCCAACUAAGUCAGACGUGAAAUCCCUCGGCUUAACCGGGGAACUGCGUCUGAUACUGGAUGGCUUGAGAUUGGGAGAGGGAUGCGGAAUUCCAGGUGUAGCGGUGAAAUGCGUAGAUAUCUGGAGGAAUACCGGUGGCGAAGGCGGCAUCCUGGACCGACAUUGACGCUGAUGAGCGAAAGCCAGGGGAGCAAACGGG